RNAcentral lists this long non-coding RNA (466 nucleotides) under Ananas comosus (pineapple). RNAcentral's name for it is "long non-coding RNA (ACOM_LNC030106)". Lineage: Eukaryota; Viridiplantae; Streptophyta; Magnoliopsida; Poales; Bromeliaceae. The record is from RNAcentral.
CCGUUUAAAUUCAGAAUUUGAAUACAUCAUUUAUUUUCUCGAAUUUAAUUAAUAUAUUUUAUGUAAUUUACAUAACUGUAAAUUCAUUAAAAUAAGCAACUAGCUUAAAUCUUGUAUUCUAAAAAGUCAUCAAAUCACUGAAAUUAAACAAAUUAAAUGAUUUGGAACUAAAAUUAGAAUUUUGAAAGAUUGAAUAGCCGAAUCAAAAUUGUCUAUAAUGCAGACACGUUAUAUAUAUUUUUACCUAAUAAUAAUUUCUCAAGAGCUGAGUUCCUGUGCUUUUAAAAGUACAUAACUCAACGUGCUUAUAAUUUUUUAGCCGUCGGAUUGCCUCAAGAUCCGUGUAGCACUAAAUAACGAUAUCCCCUUAAGUUUCUUUACUGGUACUGUACGAAUCUUAAAACGAUUCGAUGGCUAAAAAAUUAUAAACACGCUGAGCUGCUAUGCUUUCUCAACUCAAUUCCUC